Molecule: long non-coding RNA, 1310 nt
Filed under: Struthio camelus australis
Lineage: Eukaryota; Metazoa; Chordata; Aves; Struthioniformes; Struthionidae
Description: lncRNA (ENSSCUG00000011785.1)
Source: RNAcentral
UAAGUGAGACAACUCAGGAGGGAAUCAGGCUGGAAGGCUCAGUGCUAAGAUGUUCAACAUCUGCUUUUGUUAAAAAUUACCCAUAUCUGGCACAAAGCAUCUAGGUCAAAGUAGGAAGGAGUUAAUGGACUUUCCCCUGAAGGCAGAAUUUAAGUCAGCCCCAUCUGACAGUGCUGUCUUGCCUCUCCUUGGCAGGGCCCUCCAGCUGUAGUUAAUCCUUGGGAACAGGAUAUAAAGAGGAAGAGCUCACCCUUAUCAAAGGAAAUAAGUGUCCUGGGGCUGCUUGGUCAGGCAUGUUCCUGGAGGAAGCAAACUAGCUAGGACUCAUCAAGUUUUAGAUGCUGACCCUGAGCCAAAUGCUGCCAUUUAACAAGCUGUUGUUUGCGAGCAGCCCUUUCAGAAGUGCUUGCCAAGGUCAGGGAAGAGCUUGCAAAUGAAUGCUGCGUUUCCUUGUAAACUGAAGCAUCACACUGAAAGCUGUCAACGCAGAGAGUCAAGUCCAGAGUUCAGGAUGAAAUCCAGAAGCCCUCACCAAGUCAUCUACUGCUGAACUGUGUAACGUUUUGUCUGCUCAUCUAUGGGUUUUCCUAUGGUCACACUAUACUGUUUCAGUGGGACAUGAUGUGCAGCAGCAACAGACAGUUAUUUUCUAUGCUAGUUAAAGCUUAAACAAAACUACCAGAAGAUAUGCUCAAAGUAUGCAGCGUAAACUCUACCUGUGAGCUUGCCGCCGUGCGCUGUCAGCUCACGGAUUUUUCUUCCGCUGACUCCAGUAGAUGUGGGUUGUAGGGCUGACGGCAGUUUCCGUUGGUAGAAGGAACCAUUCUGUAUCACCCAAGCUUUUGCACGUCCCCCUGAGGCAGCGCACACACAGCAGUUGAUCGGAUCAAGACAGAAUUUUGCAUGUUGUGCUGUCUCUUCAGACGAUGCUUGUCUACUCAGGAUGAUAGAUUUACAUGAUUUAACACGUAAAGCUCUGUGUGGGGGAUAAACACAGGCUGCUUCAAUCUGAGAGCUGUUUGAUUCAUUUGCUUUUAAUCAGUGACUUCUCUGAGAUGAUGGUACUUCAUUGGCAGAAAAUGAUACUCAGUUAGGGUGGUAUCUUUAGUAGAAACACCCACUGUUGUAAUUGCUGUGCAGCACUCCAGAUACCGAGUGGCUCUGCUGGUUCUGCUGCCUCUAAAAUAGCUAUCAGGAUCCUUUUUUUCUUCCUGCGUGCACACAGCAGGAGUAAACUUCCGUGCUCAAAUUCCUCAUCUUGACUCAUAUAACUUUCUCCUCCCUGAGGAUGCAAUUGUUCACACAGGUGU